Molecule: long non-coding RNA, 913 nt
Organism: Drosophila guanche
Lineage: Eukaryota; Metazoa; Arthropoda; Insecta; Diptera; Drosophilidae
Exons: 3
Source: RefSeq, a predicted model, not a curated record
AUAUGAACUAAAUUCACACAUGUAAUUUUUUUAUUUUCAGUUUGUCAAGCUCGUGGAGGAUGUUGUAAUGCGCUCCCAGAAGUGGCCAACAACUGUGCAGAUCCGACGAAGCAUCCGAAGCUAACAUAUUCGUCGCCCGAUUGUUCGGAUACUGAAAUGUGUUGCAUAUUCUUAACUUAAUUCCAGUUACAGCCCAGCAGACGUCCAACAAUUGUAUACAGUAAAUACGAGUAAAGUUAGCUCACAGUUCCAUCCAUUUCUGCAAGGGGUCAUUCCAGUAGUAGAAAAUGAAUUAAAAUUUAAAAAAAUGGUGAAAAUGUUUGCUUUAUUGCAAACAUCGUCGUAAUGCAUUGGCAGUGUCCUGCCUGACUGCCUGCUCAAUUGAUUUUGGAAAGGCUUCCUGAAUUGUUACCAGUUCCAUUGACAUCUCCCUUUCGGCUGCAAUCCUCUCGGCAUCAAUGGAACGCCUCAAAUUAAAUAUCCAGCUGCAAAUCCACAAAUCAAAUGCAAUCAAUUCAAAUUUCACACUUCAAUAUUCAUUAGAAAUGUAUUUUGCAUUUUACAAUUGCAAUGUAGAUGAAACCGCCAGCCAGAGGCAAUCGCCUGACUGGCUCUCAGGCUCCCUGGCUCCCUGGCUGCCUGGCUGCCUGGAUGUCUGUGGCUACAGGAGUGAGUGCCAGCAAGGACCCAGCGUCUGAGCAUCUCAGUCCGGUAUCGUUACUCAGUUGCACAAAGCGAGCAUAAAAAAUGAAAUGGAAUGGAAUUUUCAGCAAAAUUAGCUGCCAAUUGUUUUCAAUGCACAGCGUCGACAUUCAGCUGAUAAAUUGAGAGCGAACGGAGAACGGAAAUUGUGCCAAACCAAGCAAGAAAUUUCAAAUUGCCAACAGCUGUGCGCUGCAGUUUGUCUGGGUGU